RNAcentral lists this ribosomal RNA (421 nucleotides) under uncultured eukaryote. RNAcentral's name for it is "bacterial SSU rRNA". It matches the Rfam family "Eukaryotic small subunit ribosomal RNA", at positions 592 to 1015 of the family's 1831-position model. The record is from RNAcentral.
CAAUAGCGUAUAUUAAAGUUGUUGCGGUUAAAAAGCUCGUAGUUGGAUUUCUGCCGAGGACGACCGGUCCGCCCUCUGGGUGAGUAUCUGGCUUGGCCUGGGCAUCUUCUUGGAGAACGUAGCUGCACUUGACUGUGUGGUGCGGUAUCCAGGACUUUUACUUUGAGGAAAUUAGAGUGUUUCAAGCAGGCAUGCGCCUUGAAUACCUCAGCAUGGAAUAAUAGAAUAGGACUUCCGGUUCUAUUUUGUUGGUUUUUGGAGCCGAAGUAAUGAUUAAUAGGGAUAGUUGGGGGGCACUCGUACUCCGUUGUCAGAGGUGAAAUUCUUGGAUUGACGGAAGACGAACAACUGCGAAAGCAUCUGCCAAGGAUGUUUUCAUUGAUCAAGAACGAAAGUUAGGGGAUCAAAGAUGAUUAGAUAC